This 433-nucleotide ribosomal RNA is filed under the name uncultured bacterium. RNAcentral describes it as "partial 16S ribosomal RNA". It matches the Rfam family "Bacterial small subunit ribosomal RNA", at positions 28 to 507 of the family's 1533-position model. The record is from RNAcentral.
GACGAACGCUGGCGGCAUGCCUAACACAUGCAAGUCGAACGAUACCUUCGGGUCUAAUCGCGCACGGGUGCGUAAGGAGUGGGAAAGUGGCUGUCGGGUCGGAAUAACGCAGAGAACUUUGAGCUAAUACCGGGAGAGGUCUUCGGAACAAAGAUUUAUCGCCUUUAGAUGGGCCCGCGUUGGAUUAGCUAGUUGGUGGGGUAAUGGCCUACCAAGGCGACGAUCCAUAGCUGGUCUGAGAGGAUGAUCAGCCACACUGGAACUGAGACACGGCCCAGACUCCUACGGGAGGCAGCAGUGGGGAAUAUUGCACAAUGGGCGAAAGCCUGAUCCAGCAAUGCCGCGUGAGUGAUGAAGGCCUUAGGGUUGUAAAGCUCUUUUACCCGAGAUGAUAAUGACAGUAUCUGGAGAAUAAGCUCCGGCUAACUCCGUG